CACUCUUGUGCACGUGGCUGUCCAGUUUUCCUGACACCAUUUGUUGAAGAGGCACACAGCAUAGUUUCUUAAGUCCAGUAGUCCUCGUGCUCAGAAGGUGGCUGCCAGAGUAAUUGGACAACACACUGCGUUCCCAUCCAGGAAGAGAGAAACCUGAUUCUCUUCUCCGAAGCUCUGAGUUUAAGAAGAUGCUUUCCUAGAACUUGCCAUUGUCGCAAGAUGGGCCUCAGGGCCUCCCACUUGGGUCCACAGUUCUGGAGAUACGGAGGAGUCACAGUGACGAGCAAGGACAUCUCAGAAUGUCCUGCCAUUGGACCCCAGCUCUGCAAUCCUCUAAAAUAGGAGACUCUACAGACCUGAGCUGAGCAUCGGUGGGAAGGAGCACUUGUCAUUUGCCCAAUCCUCAUGCCCACAUUGAGUCUGAAUGGCGAUACGUCCUAGAAUAAAUCAGAGGUGCCCCCCCAACUCCCUACAGCCUCAAGUUCUCUGUGUCCAGAUUUCCUCGGGGGCGGGGGAAGCAAGGAAUU
Hyaena hyaena (striped hyena) is the source of this 527-nucleotide long non-coding RNA. RefSeq lists it as uncharacterized. The record is from RefSeq and is a predicted model, not a curated record. NCBI's taxonomy places the organism in Eukaryota, Metazoa, Chordata, Mammalia, Carnivora, Hyaenidae. The transcript is spliced from 3 exons.